This 394-nucleotide ribosomal RNA is filed under the name uncultured Rhodoferax sp. RNAcentral's name for it is "bacterial SSU rRNA". It matches the Rfam family "Bacterial small subunit ribosomal RNA", at positions 988 to 1382 of the family's 1533-position model. Lineage: Bacteria; Pseudomonadati; Pseudomonadota; Betaproteobacteria; Burkholderiales; Comamonadaceae. The record is from RNAcentral.
GUACGGAAGCCUUUAGAGAUAGAGGCGUGCUCGAAAGAGAGCCGUAACACAGGUGCUGCAUGGCUGUCGUCAGCUCGUGUCGUGAGAUGUUGGGUUAAGUCCCGCAACGAGCGCAACCCUUGUCAUUAGUUGCUACAUUCAGUUGGGCACUCUAAUGAGACUGCCGGUGACAAGCCGGAGGAAGGUGGGGAUGACGUCAAGUCCUCAUGGCCCUUAUAGGUGGGGCUACACACGUCAUACAAUGGCUGGUACAAAGGGUUGCCAACCCGCGAGGGGGAGCUAAUCCCACAAAGCCAGUCGUAGUCCGGAUCGUAGUCUGCAACUCGACUACGUGAAGUCGGAAUCGCUAGUAAUCGUGGAUCAGAAUGUCACGGUGAAUACGUUCCCGGGUCUU